GGUGAAGGCCCCCUACAGACCAUGGGGUUGAUAGGCCGGAAGUGUACGCACAGUAAUGUGUUCAGCUGACCGGUACUAAUGGCCAAAAACUAGCC
Molecule: ribosomal RNA, 95 nt
Filed under: Bowdeniella nasicola
Lineage: Bacteria; Bacillati; Actinomycetota; Actinomycetes; Actinomycetales; Actinomycetaceae
Description: Actinomyces nasicola 23S rRNA. Bacterial LSU
Rfam family: Bacterial large subunit ribosomal RNA
Source: RNAcentral